UGAGUACGAGAUGCUACGGCGUCGAAGCAGUCUAGGUCAUACUUCCAAGAAAAGCUUGCACUGUCAUAAACAAAGAAUGCCUGUACCAUAACCGACACAGGUGGGUAGGUAGAGUAUACUAAGGGGCGCGAGAUAACUCUCUCUAAGGAACUCGGCAAAAUGACUCCGUAACUUCGGGAGAAGGAGUGCCUUAUUUUUAAGGUUGCAAUAACAAGAUCCAAGCAACUGUUUACCAAAAACACAGGUCUCCGCUAAGUCGUAAGACGAUGUAUGGGGGCUGACGCCUGCCCAGUGCCAGAAGGUUAAAGAAGUUGGUUAGCAUUUGCGAAGCUGAUAACUGAAGCCCUGGUGAACGGCGGCCGUAACGAUAACGGUCCUAAGGUAGCGAAAUUCCUUGUCGGGUAAGUUCCGACCCGCACGAAAGGCGUAAUGAUUUGGAUACUGUCUCGGAGAGGGGCUCGGUGAAAUAGACUUGUCUGUGAAGAUGCGGACUACCUGCACCUGGACAGAAAGACCCUAUGAAGCUUUACUGUAACUUGAGAUUGAAAUUGGACUUUAUUUGCGCAGUAUAGGUGGGAGGCGUUGAGAAUAAUCUUGCGGGAUUAUCGGAGCCAUCAGUGAGAUACCACUCUUGUAAUGUUAGAUUUCUAACUUUGUAUCAUUAUCUGGUCAAAGAACAGUUUCAGGCGGGCAGUUUGACUGGGGCGGUCGCCUCCCAAAGGGUAACGGAGGCGCACAAAGGUUUCCUCUGAACGGGUAGAAAUCGUAUCUAGAGUGUAAAGGCAUAAGGAAGCUUGACUGUGAGACCUACAAGUCGAGCAGGGACGAAAGUCGGUCUUAGUGAUCUGACGGUGCUGAGUGGAAAGGCCGUCACUCAACGGAUAAAAGUUACUCUAGGAUAACAGGCUGAUCUCCCCCAAGAGUUCACAUCGACGGGGAGGUUUGGCACCUCGAUGUCGGCUCAUCGCAUCCUGGGGCGGUAGUACGUCCCAAGGGUUGGGCUGUUCGCCCAUGAAAGCGGUACGCGAGCUGGGUUCAGAACGUCGUGAGACAGUUCGGUCCAUAUCCGGUGUAGGCGUUAGAAUAUUGAAAGGAGCCUUCUCUAGUACGAGAGGACCGAGAAGGACAUACCUCUGGUGUGCCAGUUAUCGUGCCAACGGUAAACGCUGGGUAGCUAUGUAUGGAGUGGAUAACCGCUGAAAGCAUCUAAGUGGGAAGCCCACCUUAAGAUAAG
RNAcentral lists this ribosomal RNA (1234 nucleotides) under metagenome. RNAcentral's name for it is "bacterial LSU rRNA". It matches the Rfam family "Bacterial large subunit ribosomal RNA", at positions 1564 to 2808 of the family's 2925-position model. The record is from RNAcentral.